CAGCAGCCGCGGGAAUACGGAGGGAGCUAGCGUUGUUCGGAAUUACUGGGCGUAAAGCGCGCGUAGGCGGUUACUCAAGUCAGAGGUGAAAGCCCGGGGCUCAACCCCGGAACUGCCUUUGAAACUAGGUGACUAGAAUCUUGGAGAGGUCAGUGGAAUUCCGAGUGUAGAGGUGAAAUUCGUAGAUAUUCGGAAGAACACCAGUGGCGAAGGCGACUGACUGGACAAGUAUUGACGCUGAGGUGCGAAAGCGUGGGGAGCAAACAGGAUUAGAUACCCGGGUAGUCCCUGUCUCUUAUAU
RNAcentral lists this ribosomal RNA (301 nucleotides) under uncultured bacterium. Its description in RNAcentral is "partial 16S ribosomal RNA". It matches the Rfam family "Bacterial small subunit ribosomal RNA", at positions 509 to 809 of the family's 1533-position model. The record is from RNAcentral.